CCACAUUUUAUAUUUACUACCUCCCUCUUUAUACAAUCUUCCUAUCCAUGCUCUAUCUUUACAGGUAAUUUUACGACGUAUAAACUCGAUACUUCGAUAUUUACAUUCUUCCUUAAUCCUCUGCACAACUAUUUGGGGUCUUGGGACAGUUUUGUGCCAUAGAGCUUCAUUUCUGGCGUGCCAUAUGUGGUAUACUAAUGCUGCAAUCACUGCCCAGGUUAAACCUCUACUUACUUUGCUCACUGCGUAGCGCGCUAGUCUUGUCCAUAUUCCCUAUAGCUCCUUGUUUUGUAGUGACACCCCUAGCCAGCUCAGGAUUUCAUUCAAGCAUGCCUGGGAAAAGGGGCAUUCAAAGUACAAAUGUUCAAUAUUUUCAGCUGCAUUGUCGUACAUCAGACACAUAUCUUCUUGGCAGACAGCCCAGCGAGCUAACCUUCAUCUAGUUUUCACUCUCUGAUGCAUUGCCAUCCUGCAUAUAAAGCUAUGCUUGGGGAUGUUUGUUCUGUUCCAUACGCCUCUCCACCAAGGCCAGAUAUUGUGUAGGCAACCACGUCUUGAUGAUGAUACAUACAACCAACUUGUUGAGAAGGCUAAAGAAGUAGGCUAUGAUGUGAGCAAACUCCACAAGACACCUCAUUCUGAGUCUCCACCAGAGGGUGAUAAUGCACCAACAGACUCAAAAGGAGUUUGGUGGCUCAAAUCAAUCUUUGGAAGAUAAAAAAUUACAAUACAAAUUAUGAGAAGUUGUCUUGUAAAAAGAGCUUGUUUUAAAUUCCAAAUGUUUGCAAGUUGUUAUAGUAGUAUGUACUAGUUGUAGAGUUUGGUGUUGUGAGCUAAGAGAGUUUGUUGUCAAUUUUGCUUAUGAGUUUGAGUAUAUAAAAUGUGGAUUCUUAUUUGUU
Long non-coding RNA from Capsicum annuum, 899 nucleotides. RefSeq lists it as uncharacterized. The record is from RefSeq and is a predicted model, not a curated record. The transcript is spliced from 2 exons. Lineage: Eukaryota; Viridiplantae; Streptophyta; Magnoliopsida; Solanales; Solanaceae.